Molecule: ribosomal RNA, 1640 nt
Filed under: Escherichia coli
Lineage: Bacteria; Pseudomonadati; Pseudomonadota; Gammaproteobacteria; Enterobacterales; Enterobacteriaceae
Description: partial 23S ribosomal RNA
Rfam family: Bacterial large subunit ribosomal RNA
Source: RNAcentral
AAUGGGUCAGCGACUUAUAUUCUGUAGCAAGGUUAACCGAAUAGGGGAGCCGAAGGGAAACCGAGUCUUAACUGGGCGUUAAGUUGCAGGGUAUAGACCCGAAACCCGGUGAUCUAGCCAUGGGCAGGUUGAAGGUUGGGUAACACUAACUGGAGGACCGAACCGACUAAUGUUGAAAAAUUAGCGGAUGACUUGUGGCUGGGGGUGAAAGGCCAAUCAAACCGGGAGAUAGCUGGUUCUCCCCGAAAGCUAUUUAGGUAGCGCCUCGUGAAUUCAUCUCCGGGGGUAGAGCACUGUUUCGGCAAGGGGGUCAUCCCGACUUACCAACCCGAUGCAAACUGCGAAUACCGGAGAAUGUUAUCACGGGAGACACACGGCGGGUGCUAACGUCCGUCGUGAAGAGGGAAACAACCCAGACCGCCAGCUAAGGUCCCAAAGUCAUGGUUAAGUGGGAAACGAUGUGGGAAGGCCCAGACAGCCAGGAUGUUGGCUUAGAAGCAGCCAUCAUUUAAAGAAAGCGUAAUAGCUCACUGGUCGAGUCGGCCUGCGCGGAAGAUGUAACGGGGCUAAACCAUGCACCGAAGCUGCGGCAGCGACACUAUGUGUUGUUGGGUAGGGGAGCGUUCUGUAAGCCUGUGAAGGUGUACUGUGAGGUAUGCUGGAGGUAUCAGAAGUGCGAAUGCUGACAUAAGUAACGAUAAAGCGGGUGAAAAGCCCGCUCGCCGGAAGACCAAGGGUUCCUGUCCAACGUUAAUCGGGGCAGGGUGAGUCGACCCCUAAGGCGAGGCCGAAAGGCGUAGUCGAUGGGAAACAGGUUAAUAUUCCUGUACUUGGUGUUACUGCGAAGGGGGGACGGAGAAGGCUAUGUUGGCCGGGCGACGGUUGUCCCGGUUUAAGCGUGUAGGCUGGUUUUCCAGGCAAAUCCGGAAAAUCAAGGCUGAGGCGUGAUGACGAGGCACUACGGUGCUGAAGCAACAAAUGCCCUGCUUCCAGGAAAAGCCUCUAAGCAUCAGGUAACAUCAAAUCGUACCCCAAACCGACACAGGUGGUCAGGUAGAGAAUACCAAGGCGCUUGAGAGAACUCGGGUGAAGGAACUAGGCAAAAUGGUGCCGUAACUUCGGGAGAAGGCACGCUGAUAUGUAGGUGAAGUCCCUCGCGGAUGGAGUUGAAAUCAGUCGAAGAUACCAGCUGGCUGCAACUGUUUAUUAAAAACACAGCACUGUGCAAACACGAAAGUGGACGUAUACGGUGUGACGCCUGCCCGGUGCCGGAAGGUUAAUUGAUGGGGUCAGCGCAAGCGAAGCUCUUGAUCGAAGCCCCGGUAAACGGCGGCCGUAACUAUAACGGUCCUAAGGUAGCGAAAUUCCUUGUCGGGUAAGUUCCGACCUGCACGAAUGGCGUAAUGAUGGCCAGGCUGUCUCCACCCGAGACUCAGUGAAAUUGAACUCGCUGUGAAGAUGCAGUGUACCCGCGGCAAGACGGAAAGACCCCGUGAACCUUUACUAUAGCUUGACACUGAACAUUGAGCCUUGAUGUGUAGGAUAGGUGGGAGGCUUUGAAGUGUGGACGCCAGUCUGCAUGGAGCCGACCUUGAAAUACCACCCUUUAAUGUUUGAUGUUCUAACGUUGGCCCCUGAUC